CUACGGGUGGCUCCAGUGGGGAAUAUUGCACAAUGGGCGCAAGCCUGAUGCAGCCAUGCCGCGUGUAUGAAGAAGGCCUUCGGGUUGUAAAGUACUUUCAGCGGGGAGGAAGGGAGUAAAGUUAAUACCUUUGCUCAUUGACGUUACCCGCAGAAGAAGCACCGGCUAACUCCGUGCCAGCAGCCGCGGUAAUACGGAGGGUGCAAGCGUUAAUCGGAAUUACCGGGCGUAAAGCGCACGCAGGCGGUUUGUUAAGUCAGAUGUGAAAUCCCCGGGCUCAACCUGGGAACUGCAUCUGAUACUGGCAAGCUCGAGUCUCGUAGAGGGGGGUAGAAUUCCAGGUGUAGCGGUGAAAUGCGUAGAGAUCUGGAGGAAUACCGGUGGCGAAGGCGGCCCCCUGGACGAAGACUGACGCUCAGGUGCGAAAGCGUGGGGAGCAAACAGGAUUAGAUACCCCAGUAGUC
Molecule: ribosomal RNA, 464 nt
Filed under: uncultured bacterium
Lineage: Bacteria
Description: partial 16S ribosomal RNA
Rfam family: Bacterial small subunit ribosomal RNA
Source: RNAcentral